This 77-nucleotide transfer RNA is filed under the name Candidatus Kaiserbacteria bacterium RIFCSPHIGHO2_02_FULL_49_34. RNAcentral's name for it is "tRNA-Met". It matches the Rfam family "tRNA". From Rfam's summary of the family: Transfer RNA (tRNA) molecules are approximately 80 nucleotides in length. Their secondary structure includes four short double-helical elements and three loops (D, anti-codon, and T loops). The record is from RNAcentral. Lineage: Bacteria; Candidatus Kaiseribacteriota.
CCCGGGGUAGCUCAGUCGGUUAGAGCGUAGGACUCAUAAACCUAAGGUCGGCAGUUCGAUUCUGCCCCCCGGGACAA